RNAcentral lists this ribosomal RNA (420 nucleotides) under uncultured bacterium. RNAcentral describes it as "bacterial SSU rRNA". It matches the Rfam family "Bacterial small subunit ribosomal RNA", at positions 355 to 774 of the family's 1533-position model. The record is from RNAcentral.
UAAGGAAUAUUGCUCAAUGGGAGAAAUCCUGAAGCAGCAACGCCGCGUGGAGGAUGAAGGGUCUAUGACUUGUAAACUCCUGUAAAGAAGGAAAAAAUUCCCAUUAGAUGGGAGAUGAUGGCACUUCUGGAGUAAGCCCCGGCUAACUACGUGCCAGCAGCCGCGGUAAUACGUAGGGGGCAAGCGUUGUCCGGAUUUACUGGGUGUAAAGGGUGCUCAGGCGGAUUUGUAAGUCAGAGGUGAAAUCUUACAGCUUAACUGUGAAACUGCCUUUGAUACUGCAAGCCUAGAGUAUGGAAGAGAGUGAUGGAAUAUCUGGUGUAGCAGUGAAAUGCGUAGAUAUCAGAUAGAACACCAAUGGCGAAGGCAGUCACUUGGUCCAUUACUGACGCUAAAGCACGAAAGCGUGGGUAGCAAACA